AUUGAACGCUGGCGGCAGGCCUAACACAUGCAAGUCGAGCGGAUGAGUGGAGCUUGCUCCAUGAUUCAGCGGCGGACGGGUGAGUAAUGCCUAGGAAUCUGCCUGGUAGUGGGGGACAACGUUUCGAAAGGAACGCUAAUACCGCAUACGUCCUACGGGAGAAAGUGGGGGAUCUUCGGACCUCACGCUAUCAGAUGAGCCUAGGUCGGAUUAGCUAGUUGGUGAGGUAAAGGCUCACCAAGGCGACGAUCCGUAACUGGUCUGAGAGGAUGAUCAGUCACACUGGAACUGAGACACGGUCCAGACUCCUACGGGAGGCAGCAGUGGGGAAUAUUGGACAAUGGGCGAAAGCCUGAUCCAGCCAUGCCGCGUGUGUGAAGAAGGUCUUCGGAUUGUAAAGCACUUUAAGUUGGGAGGAAGGGCAGUAAGUUAAUACCUUGCUGUUUUGACGUUACCAACAGAAUAAGCACCGGCUAACUUCGUGCCAGCAGCCGCAGUAA
RNAcentral lists this ribosomal RNA (500 nucleotides) under uncultured bacterium. Its description in RNAcentral is "partial 16S ribosomal RNA". It matches the Rfam family "Bacterial small subunit ribosomal RNA", at positions 30 to 523 of the family's 1533-position model. The record is from RNAcentral.